AUUGAACGCUGGCGGCAUGCCUUACACAUGCAAGUCGAACGGCAGCAUGAUCUAGCUUGCUCGAUUGAUGGCGAGUGGCGAACGGGUGAGUAAUACAUCGGAACGUGCCCUGUAGUGGGGGAUAACUAGUCGAAAGAUUAGCUAAUACCGCAUACGACCUGAGGGUGAAAGUGGGGGACCGCAAGGCCUCAUGCUAUAGGAGCGGCCGAUGUCUGAUUAGCUAGUUGGUGAGGUAAAGGCUCACCAAGGCGACGAUCAGUAGCUGGUCUGAGAGGACGAUCAGCCACACUGGGACUGAGACACGGCCCAGACUCCUACGGGAGGCAGCAGUGGGGAAUUUUGGACAAUGGGCGAAAGCCUGAUCCAGCAAUGCCGCGUGUGUGAAGAAGGCCUUCGGGUUGUAAAGCACUUUUGUCCGGAAAGAAGUGGCUCUGGUUAAUACCUGGGGUCGAUGACGGUACCGGAAGAAUAAGGACCGGCUAACUACGUG
RNAcentral lists this ribosomal RNA (490 nucleotides) under uncultured bacterium. RNAcentral describes it as "partial 16S ribosomal RNA". It matches the Rfam family "Bacterial small subunit ribosomal RNA", at positions 30 to 507 of the family's 1533-position model. The record is from RNAcentral.